CCUACGGGAGGCAGCAGUGGGGAAUAUUGGGCAAUGGAGGAAACUCUGACCCAGCGACGCCGCGUGCGGGAUGAAGGCCUUCGGGUUGUAAACCGCUUUCAGUAGGGAAGAAGCGAAAGUGACGGUACCUACAAAAGAAGCACCGGCUAACUAUGUGCCAGCAGCCGCGGUAAUACAUAGGGUGCAAGCGUUGUCCGGAAUUAUUGGGCGUAAAGAGCUCGUAGGUCGUUUGUUACGUCGGAUGUGAAAACCUGAGGCUCAACCUCAGGCCUGCAUUCGAUACGGGCAAACUAGAGUUUGGUAGGGGAGACUGGAAUUCCUGGUGUAGCGGUGGAAUGCGCAGAUAUCAGGAGGAACACCAAUGGCGAAGGCAGGUCUCUGGGCCAAUACUGACACUGAGGAGCGAAAGUCUGGGGAGCGAACAGGAUUAGAUACCCUGGUAGUCCAGACCGUAAACGGUGGGCACUAGUUGUGGGAACCUUCCACGGUUUCUGCGACGCNGCUACGCAUUAAGUAGUCCCGCCGUCGGGUAGGUACGAGUCGCGAGAGUUAAACGUACGAAAGGAAGUUAGUAACGGUCGUGAGACGUGCCGACGGACGACGACGAGGGAGGAGG
RNAcentral lists this ribosomal RNA (616 nucleotides) under uncultured bacterium. RNAcentral's name for it is "bacterial SSU rRNA". The stretch from base 1 to 524 matches the Rfam family "Bacterial small subunit ribosomal RNA", at positions 338 to 873 of the family's 1533-position model. The record is from RNAcentral.